RNA transcript from Anguilla anguilla (European eel), 5210 nucleotides. It is a transcript of the gene named YTH domain-containing family protein 1-like, with no coding region annotated. NCBI's taxonomy places the organism in Eukaryota, Metazoa, Chordata, Actinopteri, Anguilliformes, Anguillidae. The transcript has 7 exons. The record is from RefSeq and is a predicted model, not a curated record.
UCUCUCAGACCCCGGAUGGAACUGCCAUUGGGGGAAGUGGACUGGGCUGCACAAUACUGAGGAGGUUGUUGGAGUAAAAAAAAAAAAGAAAGAAAGAAAAAAGAAAACAGCAAGCGACAUCAACUGUGAAAAGAGAUUGUCUUACAUCGGAAAAACAAUAAACUGUUGGAAUCUGAAAAUACCAUCAUUGCAGUCUCCUCCAAACUGGACUUUGUUAAUCCGUGCGGACUGGAGGAAGAAUUAAAUAGUGGAACUUGUGUUGGGGAUACGUGCUGUGAAAAAAGCACUAGCUACUGAGUGGUGAACGAAACACGGGGCUUGGAAAGACAUUGACUAAGGCUCCACUCCAGUCCAGGGGCUUGCUUAAUGAACUAUGUCUGCCACAAGCAUUGACCCUCAGAGAUCAAAGGGACAAGCUUCGAAAGUGCAAAAUGGUUCUCUCCAUCAGAAGGACACUGUUCAUGACAAUGAUUUUGAACCGUACCUCACUGGCCAGUCUAAUCAGAAUAACAGCUAUCAAUCCAUGACUGACCCGUACAUGUCCAGCUACUACGCCCCUUCCAUUGGGUUCCCCUACCCUCUCAGCGAAGCCCCCUGGUCGACCGGCGGAGACCCCCCUAUCCCUUACCUGACCCCCUAUGCACCCUUGAGCAAUGGAGAUCACCAUUUUAUGCACGACACAGUUUUCGGACAGCCGGGGGGACUGGGGAGCAACAUCUACCCUCACAGGUUUAACUUUUUCCCAGAGAACCCGGCCUUCUCCACCUGGGGCACCAGCGGCUCCCAGGGACAGCAGACUCAGAGCUCGGCCUACGGGGGCAGCUACAGCUACCCGCCCAGCUCCCUGGGGGGCACCCUGGUGGACGGGCAAACGGGCUUUCACAACGACACUUUAAACAAAGCGCCGGGCAUGAACAGCAUUGAGCAAGGCAUGGUGGGACUGAAGAUCGGGGGCGACAUGGCGGGCUCCGGGGUGAAGGCGGUGGGCUCCGUUAUCGGCGGGGCGCUGGCGGGGAACGGCGGGACGCCCAUCGGCAUGCCCCCUCCCAAGCCCACCUCCUGGGCGGCCAUCGCCAGCAAGCCCGCCAAGCUGCAGCUGAAAGCCAAGGUGAAGCCGGGGAUGCCUCUCCCUGGGGGAGCCCUGCCCCCGCCCCCCAUCAAACACAACAUGGACAUCGGCACCUGGGACAACAAGGGGCCCGUGACCAAAGUGCCCCAGUCGCACCCGCAGCUCCCCCACUCCCUGACGCAGCAGCCCCCCCUGCAGGCCCCGCAGUCGCUGCUCCAGCAGGUGGCCUUGCAGCCCCCCCCACACCAGCAGCUGCCUCCACAGCCCUAUCAGAAUCACGCCCCGGCCCCUCCCCCGCAGACCCGCUGGGUGGCCCCCCGCAACCGAAACCCGGGUUACGGCCUGGGCGGCGGGGACGGCUGCGCCUCCCCUUGCGGUGGCGGCCCUGGGGGGCCCCCCGGCUCGGGCGGGCCGGGCCCCGCCGUGGACUCCCACCCCGUCCUGGAGAAGCUGAGGGCCGCUCACAGCUACAACCCAAAGGACUUUGACUGGAACGUGAAGAACGGCCGGGUGUUCAUCAUCAAGAGCUACUCGGAGGACGACAUCCACCGCUCCAUCAAGUACUCCAUCUGGUGCAGCACGGAGCACGGCAACAAGCGGCUGGACGGCGCCUUCCGCACCAUGAACGCCAAGGGCCCCGUGUACCUGCUGUUCAGCGUGAACGGCAGCGGGCACUUCUGCGGCGUGGCCGAGAUGCGCUCGCCCGUGGACUACGGCACCAGCGCCGGCGUCUGGUCGCAGGACAAGUGGAAGGGCAAGUUCGACGUCAACUGGCUCUUCGUCAAGGACGUGCCCAACAGCCAGCUGAGGCACAUCCGCCUGGAGAACAAUGACAACAAGCCCGUCACCAACUCGCGGGACACGCAGGAAGUCCCGCUGGAGAAGGCCAAGCAAGUGCUCAAAAUCAUCGCCACGUACAAGCACACCACCUCCAUCUUCGAUGACUUUUCUCAUUACGAGAAGAGGCAGGAGGAGGAGGAGGUGGUCCGAAAGAGUCAUUAAGCCAUCAGAGAAGAUUUGAACUGCACACACUAUCCAUCCUCAAGAACAUGAAUCAAAAAUGGAAUGCACUGAGUUGGCCGUCAUUUAAAAAUAUAUAUUUCUGUGAAAUAAAUUAUUAAAAUGACAGUUGUAGUUUGCAGAUACCCAUUUUGGAAACCAGGAUUACAGAGACGUGUUUUUGCCCCGUUCUUGAAAUAGAAACAUUACAAAGUGCAGCAUGUAUGCUUGAUGUUGGUCAAGGUUUCAGGCAAAAAGAGUUAACUAGGUAGCUGCUCCAGCAAUGAUUAGCUGAGGUAUUGGUUUCAUCUGAAUGGCUUCCAUCACCCUGCCCUGAAAUAACAAAAAAGGGUUCCCUUUAUUCGUAUGUGAAAUAUCCACAAAAUACUAUAAACUAGCUUGCUACCCGAGGAUAGCCUUGAGAAGGCUUGUUUCAGUUCUGUAGUUUUCUACAUAACCUGUUAGCUAUGCUAGUUCUGUAGGUUCACUGCCGUGUGAUAAACACAAGACACACAAAGCACAUGUUUCCAUUGCCAAUGUUUUGAUAACAACAGUUGCAUAAUCGAUUAGAUGUGAAAAUCUCCGCAAUGUUAGCAAUAGCUUUGUUACUCACUGGGAAUGUUAGCUAGCUUGCUCAGGAGCCACAUUUGACUAAAAAAACAAAACGUGAACUUGGAAAAUAUGAAAUGUAAUGUUGCUUAAUUUGCAUGGGUGGGAUAGAUAAAGUAGAAAUCAUAAUACAAUAAUACUUUCUGGUGUGCCUUGUCAUUUGUGUGGGUUAGAAGAACACAUUUUGUCUAAUCCUUAAAAAUUGGGAAAAAUGACUGCUGCUUUCAUCCCUUCUUUUCCACGUUCACCUUUUGCUUGUCGUCGCACACGAUUUUGCUGAUAUCGCACUGUCUGAUGCAGAUCUGGACUUUUGUGCACCCAAAAUCUGUAUUACUAUCAGACUUUUAUAUCUGUUGUAAAUGCUGGUAUCUGAGUGAAACAUGAUCACCACCAACUAAUGAACAGAAUGCAAAUGAGCCUGUGUGCCGUUGGGUUGCAUGGUGCUGAAUUCUCUGUACAGCUCUACCUGUAUGUCAGCGUGCUAAUUUUGAACAAAAAUAUGUUCUAAAAUAUUUUUGCACCCAUUUGCUAUGGUACAUGAACCCUUCAAAAACUUUUACUGAAACACUUGACCAAUUUGUGUGACUGUUAGCCUGCAAGAUCUGUGAGUAAUUACCUGGUUUAAUGUUUUUGGCAAACAAAAUUACAGAGCAAAUAAAAUUGACAAGAUAGUUGAACGAGUGUUAAACUGUUUGAAUUGAAUGUAACUUGACUGCAUUAGGGAGCUUUCUUUGUGACCUUUUUUUUGUUUUUCUAUCUUGUUGACCAGCCUCUCUAUUGCAUUUUGAACUGAUGAAUCGUCCAUGAGUGAUAGUGAAGAUUUAUACUUGUAUUUUCAUACAUUGUCUGAAUUUCCUUUAGUCUUCUCUGGUACCUGUGUAUGGACAGAAAUGAGUGCAUAACUUGAAUUUGUAUUGAAGUAAUUUCAUUUGUAGUGUUUAAACUGAAUUAUUGUGUUUAAAAAAUUGAAUUUGAAUUGCAGAACUUGAUUUUGUGGUUCAUGAAUUUAAAUCAAAUUAAAUGCUUUUAAAUUGAAUUUGGUCUUCAUAAAAUUCAGUCUUCAGUUGUAAUGUAAGGUUAAAUUCUAGUUCAAUCCUUACAAAUUCAGUUCUUGUAAUUCAAUUUCAAUUUUCUGUAACACAAUUCAAGCUACCAAGAAAAAGCAUGUGAGCAAGCGUUCACUGGAACUGCAAACAGCAAUUAGCCCCUCAGCGGGUGCCAAUAUUUUUCCCAUCAUCCUUUGGUACUGAGGUAAUGCUUGGAGCAGACACUGACAAUGUUUAUCCAUGGACGCCAGAGACCGAAUUCACAGAACUUUGAUCUGGCUCCCAUCCAGAACCGGUCACGACUGGAUCAGGAACGUCAAAAUCGAAGCAAACAAUAGAAGACUCUAUUCUUGGCUUGAUGGACGGUUAUACUUGGACUGAAAUUUGAUUUAAGAGACAAAAGACAAAAUUCAAACAAAUCUUUUUUUUUCUUUCUAUUUAAUCCUGGUGAUUUCAGCCAGUGUGGAGACUUAAGUUUUCUGCUCCAAGUACCUUUUUCUUGCAGGGAUAACAAGCUGGUUUAAGAAUCACAUAGCUGCAGAAUAUUAUUUUCAAUUUGUUCCAUUUUCAGUUUUCAUAGCCAGUUCCCCCUGUCCCCUCUUCCCCCUUUAUUUGAAUCAGGGUUCAACAGCAUAAAUUCAACUUUGCCACUUUUUCUUAUAAGUACAAUCAGAAAUAGAUGUGUUACCCUCUUUUCCCAUUAGGGGGUGCUGUUGAUAUGUAUGGGAUGUAUUAAACCACCAGGUUUAGGAUCCUUGUGGACAUGCAAUGCUAUGACAGGAUGAUGAUCAAUUUUGUUGUACAACUGCUUUUUUUGGCUUAUUACUGUUGUGACAACUUAAAGUCAAUUCAUAAACUAUUUGUACAAUUUUUCUUUUCCUAUCUGGAGCCUUAACAUGUUAAAUAAUGAUGUGAAAUUAACUGAGUAGUCUUUCUAAAGUCAACAGUAAUAAUCAGGGGAAGAGGCUCUCUUAGAUAGCUGCUGCAGUGGAGCAGCCAUUCGCUCUGCUCACAGGAUUGAAGAUGGACAUGUUCUUUCUGUUGGACUAGUUUUGUUCAGCUCUUACUGGUGCAAUUUUUAUUUUGCCCCCCUCCCCCACCUUGUUGUUUAUAUGAUGUGACUUGGAACUGUUUCAUGUUUCCUGUCAGGAACUCUUCAUGUGUUUAAUCCAUUCUGAAGAAAUGUAGCAUUCACUGCUUUUAAGUCAAUGAGAAAUAUGCUUUUUUAUUAGAAUGUGAUGACGUAAUUACCACAUUUGCGUGAAUCAUUUAUAUUUUAUCACUUGAGUUACUUUUCACUUAUCUUUUUUGGCCUCUCUUAAUCUUUUCUGUUAAGUUAUGUUUUGGCUAUAAAUCUUUCAUUUGUCCUUAUUAACGCCAAGCUUUGACAUAGGAGCUUAUAGCUAUGAAGAAGCCUCAGUCGUGUAACCCGAAAUUAAUGUUACUGAUUUAUUGUCAAAAGCAAGAAAAAUGAGAAAGAAAUGUGG